This 253-nucleotide ribosomal RNA is filed under the name uncultured bacterium. RNAcentral's name for it is "partial 16S ribosomal RNA". It matches the Rfam family "Bacterial small subunit ribosomal RNA", at positions 524 to 776 of the family's 1533-position model. The record is from RNAcentral.
UACGUAGGGAGCAAGCGUUGUCCGGAAUCAUUGGGCGUAAAGCGCGCGUAGGUGGCCUCAUAAGUCCGUUGUGAAAGUCAAAGGCUCAACCUUUGAAAGCCGAUGGAUACUGUGAGGCUAGAGUCCGGAAGAGGCGAGUGGAAUUCCUGGUGUAGCGGUGGAAUGCGCAGAUAUCAGGAGGAACACCAAUAGCGAAGGCAGCUCGCUGGGACGGUACUGACGCUGAGACGCGAAAGCGUGGGGAGCGAACAGG